AUUUAAGUCAUUUGUUUGAUAUGAUUCUCUGCUGGUAUAUCCAUUUAGUGUGGUAUUGGAGUGCAAAUGUACAUAAGUCAAAUCUAGUACAUAUUUAAAUUCCCCACGCUGUGCUGGCUUUUUUUUUUUUUUUUUUUUUUUUUUUGGUAUGGAGUCUCAUUCUGUCACCAGGCUGGAGUUGCAGUGAGCCAUGAUCACGCCACUGACCUCCAGCCUGGGCAACAGAAUGAGACUCUGUCUCAAAAAAAAAAAAGCAUACAUCUCUGAAGGUAAAGUAUAAAUCAGUGGGCUCAAGAUUUGCAGGUAUAGCCUUGUUAUUGCCUUCAACAAUGCUUACGUUCCUUGUCUUACGGGUUAUAAUUUUCAAAUCCUCUUCAGAUACAAUCUGAGAACUUGUUGACUACCUUUGUUACAUUUAAAAAUUUUCUAUUUUAAUAUUGCAUUAUAUUAAUGGUUUUAUAGUUAGUACAUUCCAGUUCUUUAUCUGAAGAAUAUUGCUUUUAUUUCCAGUUUCUUGGACCAGAACAAUAAACUACGUAAGACUUAGUUUCUAUAUGGUCAUAUACUAUAUAGAAUAAAGAAUUGUUACGUAAAUUAUUAAAUGGGUAUACAGACCUUUACAUAAAAACUAAGGUACCUCAGUGGAAUCUGCUAUAGUGCUUCCCCCUCCCCACCCCUCCAUUUUGUUUAUAACCUUUUAGCUAUCUAAAUAAUACAUAUUCCAUACUCAGGUUAGCUGGUUAGCUAGCAAAAGAAUUAACAUUUGUGAUAUUUACUUGCAAACUUUACUGAAGCCAUAUUCAUUAUCUUCUUUGUCACCAAGGCUGUUGACCUUAAAUAAACAUUAAGUUAUCUUGCACAACACUGUAUAUGUGUGUGUGCAUGUGCCUGUUUCUGUGUACAUUUGUGGGAAAUAAUUAUGUUUGUUUCCACAUGUAUUCAUUUUUAAUCCAUUCUGUAACUUUUCUGGGGGGGGGGUGGUCAUUGAGGGUAGGGAAGGUUUUAUAUUUUAAGUUGUCGUUAAGGUAUUUCAUUAGUGUUCCUGAGUGUAAAACAGUUUUUUCCCAAAUACUUAUGGCAGAUAAGAGCAUUUUUGUAAAUAAUAAAUUAGCACCGUUUGGAUUAAAUUUGCAUUCAGUUGUUUUUUAGACAGGUUCAUUGUCAUGUAAAGCAAAUAUCUCAAAAUUUAUUUUACAUUUAGCAAAGGUGCAAGAUUGUUUUUGGAGUUUGAGAGAUAUUUUCCUUGUCUUCCAUCUUUCAAUAAAUACUAAAAUUGAUAACCACAA
This 1286-nucleotide long non-coding RNA is filed under the name Macaca mulatta (Rhesus monkey). RNAcentral describes it as "lncRNA (ENSMMUG00000049939.1)". The record is from RNAcentral. Lineage: Eukaryota; Metazoa; Chordata; Mammalia; Primates; Cercopithecidae.